Molecule: transfer RNA, 75 nt
Filed under: Danionella cerebrum
Lineage: Eukaryota; Metazoa; Chordata; Actinopteri; Cypriniformes; Danionidae
Description: tRNA-Val
Source: RNAcentral
GCUUUCCUGUGGCUCAUUUGGUAGAGCAUUGGGCUAACAACGGAAAGGUUGUGGGUUCAGAUGCCAGGGAAAGCA